This 403-nucleotide long non-coding RNA is filed under the name Ictidomys tridecemlineatus (thirteen-lined ground squirrel). RNAcentral's name for it is "lncRNA (ENSSTOG00000034201.1)". Lineage: Eukaryota; Metazoa; Chordata; Mammalia; Rodentia; Sciuridae. The record is from RNAcentral.
CACGAAACAGUGUCGAUGAUCCAAAUGUGCAUCACAGGACGAACGGACAAGUGAUGAUAUCCCACGCAAUGGCAUGGUACUUGGCCUUGGAGAAGAAGGAUUUAGACCUCGGACUGUCCCACAGAAGACCCUCCAGUGCAGCCUACAUUCACAUGGAUUCCCACAGUGGGCCAACCUCCAAAAACAAGGCAGAUAUUGCAGCUGACAGCAGACGCCUCUCAAUUCCUCGUCCACAAACGGAGCACAACAGGGCUGGGGUGGACGGCGGAGGCAGAGCGCUCGCCACUGCGCGUGAGGCACCUCUUGGAUCCUCGGCACCACGUGUCAUUGCGUCCACCUACAACUAAGAAUGAACAUCAGCACACAAAACCAAACAGACGGAGCACGGCAUUUCAAUUCUCUG